UGCUGAGGAGUCCCAUAAUAGGACGAAACGGCCGUCCAGUGC
Molecule: non-coding RNA, 42 nt
Organism: Schistosoma rodhaini
Lineage: Eukaryota; Metazoa; Platyhelminthes; Trematoda; Strigeidida; Schistosomatidae
Source: Rfam